Brassica oleracea var. oleracea is the source of this 422-nucleotide long non-coding RNA. RefSeq lists it as uncharacterized. The transcript has 2 exons. Lineage: Eukaryota; Viridiplantae; Streptophyta; Magnoliopsida; Brassicales; Brassicaceae. The record is from RefSeq and is a predicted model, not a curated record.
CGUUCUGGAACCCUAAUCCGGCUUGGUCACAACAUCGUGUUCUUCGUUCUUCUCUGUGCGGCGGAAGAGACGAUCGGUGUUCUGUAACCGUAAGCGUUGUGAUUACAGCCUUAACUCCUCUUAAUUCGUCCGCCCACUACGUAACCUUCGAUUGAUUUGGAUUGGUAUCUGUAUAAAUAUGUGGUUUUUUCUCCGACUUGAAGUCCGGCAAGUGCUCCGACGUCGUCGAGGCUCGGCUUCUGCGUUUCUGGGAAGCCAGAAAUAUAUUUGUAUUAAUCGAUCUUUUCCUCCUGGUUGAUGUGAAUAUAAGUUAAUUUCCAGAUUUCAUUUUUGUAUUAAUCAAUCUUUUCCUCCUGUUUAUUGGAACCGUAUUGUGAUUAUUGAUUUCAUAUUUGUAUUAAUCGAUCUUUUCCUCCUGCUUA